RNAcentral lists this long non-coding RNA (707 nucleotides) under Olea europaea (common olive). Its description in RNAcentral is "long non-coding RNA (OEUR_LNC001051)". The record is from RNAcentral. Lineage: Eukaryota; Viridiplantae; Streptophyta; Magnoliopsida; Lamiales; Oleaceae.
AAAUCACCAGCUGCUGCCUGUUGGAGCUUGGGCUGUUGGUAUGAUCCUCUUCCGGCGGCCGUGAUUCCGCCCUCCGCUUCCUUGCCGGUGGUGUUCUGAGAAUCAUUUUCUUUAUUUACCUACGUUUCAAUUUUUGGGAAUAUUACUUCUGUAUUUGUCAUAUCAACCGUGAAACUAGGGUUUAAUCACCGCGACCGUGUGUGAAUUCGAAAUUAAGAGGCCACCAAUAUGAUUUUUCUAGCUUUUUGGAUGGUCCAAACUCCAGCGUUCUGACACCAAAUACUUUCUCCCUUUUUUUAAUAUAGGCGCCCGUUUGACAACAAUUUUUCGACAAGAAUGAAUUUUUUAAUAGUAAUUUUUUAACGAAUGUGUAGGUAAAACAUAGAAAAAUUUUGAGUUUAGAUGAAAAAUAUUUUAUUAUGAAAAUAUAUAGAAAAAAUGAGUGAGAGAAAUAAAAACAAUUUUAAAAGAAUGAUUACCAAACGGAGAACAAUUAUGCAUAAACUUAAUCCAUCUUUAAGGCAAAAAAUCAACUCCAACCAGCUUCUUAUACAAAAAAUUGUAAUUAGAUAAGGAUUUUGUACUGUUCACUUGAUCCCAAGUACUUAUUUGAGCCAUAUGUAAAAAUAAAUAAAUAUUUUUGAGAUAUCGAGUCGAGUAAUGGAUAAUAUAUUUCAAAUAUUUUAUUAAAAUCUGCCCAAGUAUUG